AAGUCAGCUGUACUGAGUGUCGAUGACACAUGUGCCUCCCAUUUUUGAAGCUCUUCUCCCUGGCGCCUCAGUGUACUGUCUGAGCUGCCCCUGGGCUACAACCGUGAUUAAGAGGAGAGGUCUCUCUUUUGAAGGGGUUGGUGGUCUCUUGAGCUGAGGAAGUGGAACACGGGGUGAGUUUUCCUUUGUUUGUUCUUUCGUCCAUUCAUUGGUUCAUUAGGAAGCCCCUUCUCUGUGCUUGGUGCUGAGGAGGGGUUUUAACAGUCUCCUCCAGCAAUGGCGCUUCGGGGCAGGGGGGAGUAUGGGGAUGCUAAGUUUUGGGGGGAGCUUCCAGUAGAUUCAUUCAGGAGGAGACUCCUUUGGAGUAAGAUGGGAAGAGCAGCUUGCAGCCCCCUGGUAGAGGCCCUUGAACGGAGAGCAGAGUUUUGUUCUGGGGCAAGUUUGGGGCAGGCAAGCCCGAGUCUCUUUCCUGUCCUUGACCCUUGCUGUGGGACUCGCUUCUCUGCUUUUCAGUUGACGAGCCUGGCUGAUGGAAAACUGGAGGGCAUGCUGUGGGCUUCUCCCCUGCCACCUUCCCCGCUCUUGACGUCUUCUGGAAAUUGCCACCUUUAGGAGUCUGAGGAGCCAGGCAUCCUCGAGGGCAGGCUUCCUGUGUGGAGAGCCUUGUGGCUGAGGUCUGACCACACCACAAACCCACUGCUGCUCAUCAGUGUGGGCCAAGGAUGGAAGAGAAGCCAUGGUGCAGAGAGGGGUGUGGGUCAGGGGCUGAGGAUGCCUCCGGCCUUUCCUAAAAAGGAGGGAGCUGGACUUGCUUUUCCCUGAGACAUCUUCUGGUUGCGCCUCAGUCUACCCUGCGUUUGUCAUUUAGAUGGGGAGCUCCCCCACCAUCUCAUUCGGCAUGGGGUUUACAGGUCUAACAGGCCACGGUUUUAUGAGCUGCCUUGUGAAUAUUAAAAGUCGCAUUUCUUUUUCUGUUUCUUUGGAUUGCUUGAAUUUUUUAAGGUUGAGCAGUUUUUUAAAUAGCAAAGUGUAAAGUCCUAAGUCUUCUUAGAGGCUGUCAUUCUCCUGUGAUUUCAGCUCCCUAGCCUCCUUCGUGACUUUGAUCACCAAGUCCCCCGUUACGUUGGAAGAUUAAAGGCAUGUGGACGUCCGGGGGAGGGCAGCCUGGAGGUGACAUUCAAAAGCUCGAUUAGUCUUCUGCGGAUCAGGUUAUGGAUUACAGCCGCAUAAAGCAAUUACUGCACAAAUGGUAGCUGCGGACUGUGCAAAUCAGAGUUUAUGCAAGCGUAAUCUCAAUUUUUUUAUCCUUUUGUAACACAUGGAAAAUAAAGGUCAGAGGAUACAGUACCAGGACGUGCAGCUACACUACAGAAGCAUUGUCCAAAACCAGAUUCAAUAAAUUAAUGGCAAACUCUACUGGAUUUCUAGUCCAGGGGAGAAAGACUAAUUGAGAUUAAACUAAAAGUAUUGUCAACUGCUACGUGUGUUUGUGCUUUUGUUUAUGCCGGAUGGGUUCCCCUUUUGGAAAUUGCUUUUACAAGCUGCGAAACUCUUCACUGGAAGCUUUCAACUGUAUUCUCCUCGCGUCAAAUGACUGAACCACGCCCGAUGGAAAUUAAAGGGCCAGUGCUCGGGAUACUGCAAUUACACAGAGAAGGGAAGAUGUGACCGAGGGCAGCUGUUACGUGUGACUUUGUGCACUGGACCCGACCUCCUGGGUUUACUCAUUGGACGGCAGGUGCAGGGAGGCGAGGGUUACCUGCAUUUCCACAUUGGAAAGGAGCAGAAUCUGGGAAGGAUGAAGCAUGGGUCAUCCAGGCCAUCUUAAAGGGAAACUGCCCUCAGAAACAUUUUGCCUUUUAAUACAUGUAGCUACCACUAAG
RNAcentral lists this long non-coding RNA (1883 nucleotides) under Equus asinus (donkey). RNAcentral describes it as "lncRNA (ENSEASG00005037622.1)". Lineage: Eukaryota; Metazoa; Chordata; Mammalia; Perissodactyla; Equidae. The record is from RNAcentral.